AGCUUGUGCCCCACGAGCUCCUCCAAAUUCCACCCAAGUUGCAACUGGAACAUCAAACGAGGGGUCCACUUGGUUAUAGAGUAGCUUUGCUGCUAUCGGUGAGUAAUUGUGGACUGUUUUUCAUCGAUUAAGGGUGCUUUGAAGAUUUUUCCCUCUGAGCUUUCGGGAUGUGCGACUGAGCUGCACGGCGGUCAGGCUACGCCCCAUCUCUUGUUUUUAUAACAAGCUGUCACCCUUCUAGCCAGCCCCACUCCUACUCCUCACCACGACCCCUAAGUCAGUGUAUAAGAAGUCCAUGACAUGCGCAUAUUGAAUAUAGCC
This is a non-coding RNA of Pelobates cultripes (western spadefoot toad), 321 nucleotides long. NCBI's taxonomy places the organism in Eukaryota, Metazoa, Chordata, Amphibia, Anura, Pelobatidae. The record is from the annotation of a GenBank genome assembly.